Molecule: ribosomal RNA, 253 nt
Filed under: uncultured bacterium
Lineage: Bacteria
Description: partial 16S ribosomal RNA
Rfam family: Bacterial small subunit ribosomal RNA
Source: RNAcentral
UACGUAGGGGGCUAGCGUUGUCCGGAUUUAUUGGGCGUAAAGAGCGUGUAGGCGGCCUGGUAGGUCUGCUGUGAAAACUCGAGGCUCGACCUCGAGAUGUCGGCGGAAACCAUCUGGCUAGAGUCCGGAAGAGGAGAGUGGAAUUCCUGGUGUAGCGGUGAAAUGCGCAGAUAUCAGGAGGAACACCAAUAGCGAAGGCAGCUCGCUGGGACGUUACUGACACUGAGGCGCGAAAGCGUGGGGAGCAAACAGG